RNAcentral lists this ribosomal RNA (462 nucleotides) under uncultured bacterium. RNAcentral describes it as "partial 16S ribosomal RNA". It matches the Rfam family "Bacterial small subunit ribosomal RNA", at positions 29 to 523 of the family's 1533-position model. The record is from RNAcentral.
AGCGAACGCUGGCGGCAGGCCUAAUACAUGCAAGUCGAACGGCUCUUCGGAGCAGUGGCGGACGGGUGAGUAACACGUGGGAACGUGCCCUUUGGUACGGAACAACUGAGGGAAACUUCAGCUAAUACCGUAUGUGCCCCCAUUCUUAGCGGGAUGGGUGGGAAAGAUUUAUCGCCAUUGGAGCGGCCCGCGUUGGAUUAGCUAGUUGGUGGGGUAAAGGCCCACCAAGGCUACGAUCCAUAGCUGGUCUGAGAGGAUGAUCAGCCACACUGGGACUGAGACACGGCCCAGACUCCUACGGGAGGCAGCAGUAGGGAAUCUUGCGCAAUGGGCGAAAGCCUGACGCAGCCAUGCCGCGUGAAUGAUGAAGGUCUUAGGAUUGUAAAAUUCUUUCACCGGGGAAGAUAAUGACGGUACCCGGAGAAGAAGCCCCGGCUAACUUCGUGCCAGCCGCCGCCGUAA